Molecule: ribosomal RNA, 722 nt
Filed under: Faecalibacterium prausnitzii
Lineage: Bacteria; Bacillati; Bacillota; Clostridia; Eubacteriales; Oscillospiraceae
Description: bacterial SSU rRNA
Rfam family: Bacterial small subunit ribosomal RNA
Source: RNAcentral
AUCCGCUUUGAGAUGGCCUCGCGUCCGAUUAGCUGGUUGGUGAGGUAACGGCCCACCAAGGCAACGAUCGGUAGCCGGACUGAGAGGUUGAACGGCCACAUUGGGACUGAGACACGGCCCAGACUCCUACGGGAGGCAGCAGUGGGGAAUAUUGCACAAUGGGGGAAACCCUGAUGCAGCGACGCCGCGUGGAGGAAGAAGGUCUUCGGAUUGUAAACUCCUGUUGUUGAGGAAGAUAAUGACGGUACUCAACAAGGAAGUGACGGCUAACUACGUGCCAGCAGCCGCGGUAAAACGUAGGUCACAAGCGUUGUCCGGAAUUACUGGGUGUAAAGGGAGCGCAGGCGGGAAGACAAGUUGGAAGUGAAAUCUAUGGGCUCAACCCAUAAACUGCUUUCAAAACUGUUUUUCUUGAGUAGUGCAGAGGUAGGCGGAAUUCCCGGUGUAGCGGUGGAAUGCGUAGAUAUCGGGAGGAACACCAGUGGCGAAGGCGGCCUACUGGGCACCAACUGACGCUGAGGCUCGAAAGUGUGGGUAGCAAACAGGAUUAGAUACCCUGGUAGUCCACACCGUAAACGAUGAUUACUAGGUGUUGGAGGAUUGAUCCCUUCAGUGCCGCAGUUAACACAAUAAGUAAUCCACCUGGGGAGUACGACCGCAAGGUUGAAACUCAAAGGAAUUGACGGGGGCCCGCACAAGCAGUGGAGUAUGUGGUUUAAUUC